Molecule: ribosomal RNA, 253 nt
Filed under: uncultured bacterium
Lineage: Bacteria
Description: partial 16S ribosomal RNA
Rfam family: Bacterial small subunit ribosomal RNA
Source: RNAcentral
UACAGAGGGGGCAAGCGUUAUUCGGAAUUAUUGGGCGUAAAGGGCGCGUAGGCGGCCUGGCAAGUGGAAGGUGAAAUCCCUCGGCUUAACCGAGGAACUGCCCUCCAAACUGCUUGGCUUGAGUCCGGGAGAGGUGAGUGGAAUUCUCGGUGUAGCGGUGAAAUGCGUAGAUAUCGAGAGGAACACCUGCGGCGAAGGCGGGUAGCUGGGCCGACACUGACGCUGAGGCGCGAAGGCGUGGGGAGCGAACGGG